RNAcentral lists this ribosomal RNA (1635 nucleotides) under Escherichia coli. RNAcentral's name for it is "partial 23S ribosomal RNA". It matches the Rfam family "Bacterial large subunit ribosomal RNA", at positions 711 to 2329 of the family's 2925-position model. The record is from RNAcentral. Lineage: Bacteria; Pseudomonadati; Pseudomonadota; Gammaproteobacteria; Enterobacterales; Enterobacteriaceae.
AGACCCGAAACCCGGUGAUCUAGCCAUGGGCAGGUUGAAGGUUGGGUAACACUAACUGGAGGACCGAACCGACUAAUGUUGAAAAAUUAGCGGAUGACUUGUGGCUGGGGGUGAAAGGCCAAUCAAACCGGGAGAUAGCUGGUUCUCCCCGAAAGCUAUUUAGGUAGCGCCUCGUGAAUUCAUCUCCGGGGGUAGAGCACUGUUUCGGCAAGGGGGUCAUCCCGACUUACCAACCCGAUGCAAACUGCGAAUACCGGAGAAUGUUAUCACGGGAGACACACGGCGGGUGCUAACGUCCGUCGUGAAGAGGGAAACAACCCAGACCGCCAGCUAAGGUCCCAAAGUCAUGGUUAAGUGGGAAACGAUGUGGGAAGGCCCAGACAGCCAGGAUGUUGGCUUAGAAGCAGCCAUCAUUUAAAGAAAGCGUAAUAGCUCACUGGUCGAGUCGGCCUGCGCGGAAGAUGUAACGGGGCUAAACCAUGCACCGAAGCUGCGGCAGCGACACUGUGUGUUGUUGGGUAGGGGAGCGUUCUGUAAGCCUGUGAAGGUGUGCUGUGAGGCAUGCUGGAGGUAUCAGAAGUGCGAAUGCUGACAUAAGUAACGAUAAAGCGGGUGAAAAGCCCGCUCGCCGGAAGACCAAGGGUUCCUGUCCAACGUUAAUCGGGGCAGGGUGAGUCGACCCCUAAGGCGAGGCCGAAAGGCGUAGUCGAUGGGAAACAGGUUAAUAUUCCUGUACUUGGUGUUACUGCGAAGGGGGGACGGAGAAGGCUAUGUUGGCCGGGCGACGGUUGUCCCGGUUUAAGCGUGUAGGCUGGUUUUCCAGGCAAAUCCGGAAAAUCAAGGCUGAGGCGUGAUGACGAGGCACUACGGUGCUGAAGCAACAAAUGCCCUGCUUCCAGGAAAAGCCUCUAAGCAUCAGGUAACAUCAAAUCGUACCCCAAACCGACACAGGUGGUCAGGUAGAGAAUACCAAGGCGCUUGAGAGAACUCGGGUGAAGGAACUAGGCAAAAUGGUGCCGUAACUUCGGGAGAAGGCACGCUGAUAUGUAGGUGAAGUCCCUCGCGGAUGGAGCUGAAAUCAGUCGAAGAUACCAGCUGGCUGCAACUGUUUAUUAAAAACACAGCACUGUGCAAACACGAAAGUGGACGUAUACGGUGUGACGCCUGCCCGGUGCCGGAAGGUUAAUUGAUGGGGUCAGCGCAAGCGAAGCUCUUGAUCGAAGCCCCGGUAAACGGCGGCCGUAACUAUAACGGUCCUAAGGUAGCGAAAUUCCUUGUCGGGUAAGUUCCGACCUGCACGAAUGGCGUAAUGAUGGCCAGGCUGUCUCCACCCGAGACUCAGUGAAAUUGAACUCGCUGUGAAGAUGCAGUGUACCCGCGGCAAGACGGAAAGACCCCGUGAACCUUUACUAUAGCUUGACACUGAACAUUGAGCCUUGAUGUGUAGGAUAGGUGGGAGGCUUUGAAGUGUGGACGCCAGUCUGCAUGGAGCCGACCUUGAAAUACCACCCUUUAAUGUUUGAUGUUCUAACGUGGACCCGUGAUCCGGGUUGCGGACAGUGUCUGGUGGGUAGUUUGACUGGGGCGGUCUCCUCCUAAAGAGUAACGGAGGAGCACGAAGGUUGGCUAAUCCUG